This 78-nucleotide small RNA is filed under the name Flavobacterium sp. 5. RNAcentral's name for it is "Flavo-1 RNA". It matches the Rfam family "Flavo-1 RNA". The record is from RNAcentral. Lineage: Bacteria; Pseudomonadati; Bacteroidota; Flavobacteriia; Flavobacteriales; Flavobacteriaceae.
CUUUAGCCUUGAUAAAAGUGAAAAUCCUUUUUGUUUUUCUUUAAAACAAAAAGAUUGUAACGAAUAGCGGCAACCCGC